RNAcentral lists this ribosomal RNA (433 nucleotides) under uncultured bacterium. RNAcentral describes it as "partial 16S ribosomal RNA". It matches the Rfam family "Bacterial small subunit ribosomal RNA", at positions 29 to 507 of the family's 1533-position model. The record is from RNAcentral.
AACGAACGCUGGCGGCAUGCCUAACACAUGCAAGUCGAACGAGAUCUUCGGAUCUAGUGGCGCACGGGUGCGUAACGCGUGGGAAUCUGCCCCUUGCUUCGGAAUAACAGUGAGAAAUUACUGCUAAUACCGGAUGAUGUCUUCGGACCAAAGAUUUAUCGGCAAGGGAUGAGCCCGCGUAGGAUUAGGUAGUUGGUGGGGUAAUGGCCUACCAAGCCGACGAUCCUUAGCUGGUCUGAGAGGAUGAUCAGCCACACUGGGACUGAGACACGGCCCAGACUCCUACGGGAGGCAGCAGUGGGGAAUAUUGGACAAUGGGCGAAAGCCCGAUCCAGCAAUGCCGCGUGAGUGAUGAAGGCCUUAGGGUUGUAAAGCUCUUUUACCAGGGAUGAUAAUGACAGUACCUGGAGAAUAAGCUCCGGCUAACUCCGUG